GUGUCAGCAGCCGCGGUAAUACGGAGGAUGCAAGCGUUAUCCGGAAUUAUUGGGCGUAAAGCGUCCGUAGGUGGUGGUUCAAGUCUGCUGUCAAAAACUGGGGCUUAACCCUAGAGCGGCGGUGGAAACUGAACUGCUAGAGUGUGGUAGGGGCAGAGGGAAUUCCCGGUGUAGCGGUGAAAUGCGUAGAGAUCGGGAAGAACACCGGUGGCGAAAGCGCUCUGCUGGACCACAACUGACACUCACAGGACGAAAGCUAGGGGAGCGAAUGGGAUUAGAAACCCUCGUAGUCC
Molecule: ribosomal RNA, 293 nt
Filed under: uncultured bacterium
Lineage: Bacteria
Description: partial 16S ribosomal RNA
Rfam family: Bacterial small subunit ribosomal RNA
Source: RNAcentral